CCCAACUAUCCCUAUUAAUCAUUACGUCGAUCCUAGAAACCAACAAAAUAGAAUCAAACGUCCUAUUUCAUUAUUCCAUGCUAAUGUAUUCAAGCGUGAGCCUGCUUUAAACACUCUAAUUUUUUCAAAGUAACAGUCCUGAUUCCCCAAGACACCAAAUUAAUGACAUCAUAGUUCGUCAGAAGGAAGAAACCAAUAAAUUAGUACGUACCAAGGCACGACCAACAUAUUGAUCCCGAAAUUCAACUACGAGCUUUUUAACUGCAACAACUUUAAUAUACGCUAUUGGAGCUGGAAUUACCGCGGCUGCUGGCACCAGACUUGCCCUCCAA
This 332-nucleotide unclassified non-coding RNA is filed under the name uncultured Glomerales. RNAcentral describes it as "sequence contains 18S rRNA gene". The record is from RNAcentral. Lineage: Eukaryota; Fungi; Glomeromycota; Glomeromycetes; Glomerales; Glomeraceae. RNAcentral also lists the same sequence under 1 other name.